UGAGGGAUUUUCGGCAAUGGGCGAAAGCCUGACCGAGCGACGCCGCGUGAGCGAAGAAGGCCUUCGGGUCGUAAAGCUCUGUCUAGGGGGACGAGAGAGGACGGUACCCCUGGAGGAAGCCACGGCUAACUACGUGCCAGCAGCCGCGGUAAUACGUAGGUGGCGAGCGUUGUCCGGAAUUACUGGGCGUAAAGGGCGCGCAGGCGGUACGUUAAGUCCAAGGUGAAAUCCCACGGCUCAACUGUGGGGGGACCCUGGAUACUGGCGUGCUGGAGUGCGGGAGAGGGAAGCGGAAUUCCACGUGUAAUGGUGAAAUGUGUAGAUAUGUGGAGGAACACCGGUGGCGAAGGCGGCUUCCUGGACCGUAACUGACGCUGAGGCGCGAAAGCUGGGGGAGCGAACAG
This 404-nucleotide ribosomal RNA is filed under the name uncultured bacterium. RNAcentral's name for it is "bacterial SSU rRNA". It matches the Rfam family "Bacterial small subunit ribosomal RNA", at positions 355 to 775 of the family's 1533-position model. The record is from RNAcentral.